GCUGGGUGCAAUGAUAUGUACCUAUAGUCCCAGCUACUCAGGAGGCUGAGGCAGGGAGAUUGCUUGAGCCCAGGAGUUCUGGCUAUAGUGCGCUCUGCCCAUGGGGUGUCCACACUAAGUUCACAUCAAUAUGGUGACCUUCCAAGAGUGGGGACCACCAGGUUGCCUAAGGAGGAGUGGACCUGUCCAGAUCAGAAACGGAGCGGGCCAACUCCCUUGCUGAUCAGUACUGGAAUGGCAUCUGUGAACAGCCAUUGCACUCUAGCCUAGACAACCUGGUGAGACUCUACCUU
This 293-nucleotide signal recognition particle RNA is filed under the name Carlito syrichta (Philippine tarsier). RNAcentral's name for it is "Metazoan signal recognition particle RNA (ENSTSYG00000031244.1)". It matches the Rfam family "Metazoan signal recognition particle RNA". From Rfam's summary of the family: The signal recognition particle (SRP) is a universally conserved ribonucleoprotein. It is involved in the co-translational targeting of proteins to membranes. The eukaryotic SRP consists of a 300-nucleotide 7S RNA and six proteins: SRPs 72, 68, 54, 19, 14, and 9. The record is from RNAcentral. Lineage: Eukaryota; Metazoa; Chordata; Mammalia; Primates; Tarsiidae.